GGAAUCUUCCACAAUGGGCGAAAGCCUGAUGGAGCAACGCCGCGUGUGUGAUGAAGGGUUUCGGCUCGUAAAACACUGUUGUAAGAGAAGAAUGACAUUGAGAGUAACUGUUCAAUGUGUGACGGUAUCUUACCAGAAAGGAACGGCUAAAUACGUGCCGG
This 161-nucleotide ribosomal RNA is filed under the name uncultured bacterium. RNAcentral's name for it is "partial 16S ribosomal RNA". It matches the Rfam family "Bacterial small subunit ribosomal RNA", at positions 358 to 511 of the family's 1533-position model. The record is from RNAcentral.